UCCUUGCUCUGCCUCUGGCUUCCCCCCCAUGUCCUGUCUUUGGCAUUGGCCAGAGAUGGAGCAAGAGCAUGAUUGUUGGUACCCGAAAGACAGUGAACUAUGCCUGGUCAGGACGAGGCCAACAGAAACUCUGGUGGAAGUCCAUAACGAUUCUGAUGUGCAAAUCGAUUGUUGGACCUGCAUAUAGGGGCAAAAGACUAAUUGAACCAUCUAGUAGCUGG
Molecule: ribosomal RNA, 221 nt
Filed under: Aulacobolus rubropunctatus
Lineage: Eukaryota; Metazoa; Arthropoda; Diplopoda; Spirobolida; Pachybolidae
Description: partial 28S ribosomal RNA
Rfam family: Eukaryotic large subunit ribosomal RNA
Source: RNAcentral